AUCGCUUCUCGGCCUUUUGGCUAAGAUCAAGUGUUGUAUUAUUAAGUGAAACCAAAUUUGACAAAGAUAGAUAAAACUAUAUUUACUUGAUCAUUUACAGACUGAACAAUAACAUGAAUGAAUUUCC
RNAcentral lists this small nuclear RNA (127 nucleotides) under Fukomys damarensis (Damara mole-rat). RNAcentral describes it as "U2 spliceosomal RNA". It matches the Rfam family "U2 spliceosomal RNA". From Rfam's summary of the family: U2 is a small nuclear RNA (snRNA) component of the spliceosome (involved in pre-mRNA splicing). Complementary binding between U2 snRNA (in an area lying towards the 5' end but 3' to hairpin I) and the branchpoint sequence (BPS) of the intron results the bulging out of an unpaired adenosine, on the BPS, which initiates a nucleophilic attack at the intronic 5' splice site, thus starting the first of two transesterification reactions that mediate splicing. Lineage: Eukaryota; Metazoa; Chordata; Mammalia; Rodentia; Bathyergidae. The record is from Rfam by way of RNAcentral.